AUACGGAGGGUGCAAGCGUUACUGGGAAUCACUGGGCGUAAAGCGCGCGCAGGCGGCUCGAUAAGUUGGAUGUGGAAGCCUACGGCUCAACCGUAGAACUGCAUCCAAAACUGUCAAGCUAGAGUCUGGGAGGGGAAGAUGGAAUUAGUUGUGUAGGGGUAAAAUCCGUAGAGAUAACUAGGAAUACCAAAAGCGAAGGCGAUCUUCUGGAACACUACUGACGCUGAGGCGCGAAGGCGUGGGGAGCAAACAGGAUUAGAAACCCCGGUAGUCC
This 274-nucleotide ribosomal RNA is filed under the name uncultured bacterium. Its description in RNAcentral is "partial 16S ribosomal RNA". It matches the Rfam family "Bacterial small subunit ribosomal RNA", at positions 523 to 796 of the family's 1533-position model. The record is from RNAcentral.